GUCAUACCUUAUAAUAUAUGUUUCAAUCUGAAAACUUAGACCAAUUUUACUGAUACACGAUCCAGCCUGUCUUUUCCAACUUGCACCUCUUAUGUCAGUGCUCUUCAUUCUGGGCUCGUCUGUGUUGCAGUUCGAGGCUACCACGGUGAACUACAAAGAAAAGCGUUACUGGAAAUGUGCAUCGCUGAAGUAUGCUGAUGCUUUUUUCCCCUUCUUAAAAAUGUGUUUUACUGGAAAACAUGGCAAGGGGAAGAUACUCAUUUUGCCCUAAAAGUUUUCAGGGAUGUUUAUUUUUCCAGUGCUUCAGAAGAAGGCAAAGCCAGACAAUUUUUUUUAGCACUGAAGAACAAUUAUUGAUUUGAAACCAUAAUUUGUCCUGAAAAAUCACUCUAAGUUUCAUUUCUGGUUGAAAAGGCAGCAAUGUAUAACUGAAAAGUUUGGGUUUGAAAAUCGUUUUGGUUUGAGAAGCCAUUUUUGUCACAUAAGAAGUUUUUGCCCCACUCCCACGAGCGCGAUGUGCGGGCACCGAGGGCUCGUCCUGCGCUGCUCUGGUGGCCGACCUGAGGGGCUCUCUGCCUGAGGCAUGUAAACCAGCCUACUAGGAACGUUGAAUUAAGAUUGUAGAAAAACUGUUUGGGAUGGCAUUCAGGAAAUUCAGUUGCAGACCACAGCAUGGAAUAUUCUUACGCGCUUUGAAGAAGUGCUUGGGUAUUAAUAACGUGUCUGUUUUUUCCACUCCAGUGCUUCCAGCUGGUCUAACAGGAGCGAAUGCCUCACCCCGGAGCUGUUGCCUUGCUGCUGUACGUGAGGACAGAACAGGCCGGGCCAGGAGCUGUGCUGCAAAAAAGCCGCGUGUCGCUGCGCUCAGACGAGCUCUGAGUGACGCCAGCUGAGGAUCCCGCUGGUUGGAUUCACUGCUGAGGAAAGACCAAGAGCUGAAUACCCAGCACAAGGAGGGUUCUGUCUUAUGUGCCCGGUAGGCUCGAUCAGCACACAGAUUGCGUUCUGCUGUUUCUUAAACCCAAACCACUAAAACAGAUGAUGUAAAGGAGCGGGGCAGGAAUGCUGUGUUUGUGGCUUGUUGCUGUUUAUAUAGCGCCAAAGUUGGGCAAGGCACUUUAAAAACAGGCAUGAUGGCAUGAAGUACUGGCCCUAAUUAAGCCGGGCAGUUUUGGUGGUGAUUUUAGGGGAAUUGGGAUUGCCCUUUCACAAGAAGUUUCUGCUUUAGGUUUAAAUAUUGCCUCAAACAGAGCUUCAGCAGGAAGGGGGUGAACCCUCUGGGUAGGAUUUGGGGCUGGAGGAACCCCCAGAUGGUGAGGAUGGGCCCUAAGCACCGCAAAACUGGGCUGCCCGGGGAGCUCCCUGUUUAGCAGAGCCAUAUCCCAGUAGACCUAUGACUCUUCAAACACUCUGAUUAAACACUUGUUAUCCACAUAGAUUGAAAUACCACGACAAAAAUAGUUUUCUGCAACCAGGACCUACAUUUUCUGUACAUUCCUACUCAUUUCUUCGUUCCAGGUUCAUUCUUGGCAGUGAACAUCCCCCGAUUCCUGUUCAGAGUGGAGUGGGCUAUGCUUUCCCCAAAUCCUCGGGUUGAAUCACAAAAAAUGUGUUAUUUCCUUGCUGCGGUGUUGUCCAAGAUUUUAGAGGUCGUGAUCUAACACACCAGCCAAAACAAUGACCUUGGCUUGAAAACGAGGAGGCUUUUUUGAAGGGUUGGUUGAAUUGUUGGAGUUUUUUGCCGGCUGUGUCUGAAACCGUUAGGAUACUUUUACAUUUUCAGGCUUUCCCCAGAGCUGUUCACUUUUUCAGCUGAGGAACGUGGGACUAUUUGUGCUGCACACCUUUGUGGUACCUGUUUCAGGUGCUUGAGUGGUGAAGCUCCUCUUCCAA
Anser brachyrhynchus (Pink-footed goose) is the source of this 1893-nucleotide long non-coding RNA. NCBI's taxonomy places the organism in Eukaryota, Metazoa, Chordata, Aves, Anseriformes, Anatidae. The record is from Ensembl.